RNAcentral lists this ribosomal RNA (506 nucleotides) under uncultured bacterium. Its description in RNAcentral is "partial 16S ribosomal RNA". It matches the Rfam family "Bacterial small subunit ribosomal RNA", at positions 29 to 523 of the family's 1533-position model. The record is from RNAcentral.
AGUGAACGCUGGCGGUAGGCCUAACACAUGCAAGUCGAACGGCAGCACAGGAGAGCUUGCUCUCUGGGUGGCGAGUGGCGGACGGGUGAGGAAUACAUCGGGAUCUACUCUGUCGUGGGGGAUAACGUAGGGAAACUUACGCUAAUACCGCAUACGACCUAAGGGUGAAAGCAGGGGACCUUCGGGCCUCGCGCGAUUGAAUGAGCCGAUGUCGGAUUAGCUAGUUGGCGGGGUAAAGGCCCACCAAGGAGACGAUCCGUAGCUGGUCUGAGAGGAUGAUCAGCCACACUGGAACUGAGACACGGUCCAGACUCCUACGGGAGGCAGCAGUGGGGAAUAUUGGACAAUGGGCGCAAGCCUGAUCCAGCCAUACCGCGUGGGUGAAGAAGGCCUUCGGGUUGUAAAGCCCUUUUGUUGGGAAAGAAAUCCAGCUGGCUAAUACCCGGUUGGGAUGACGGUACCCAAAGAAUAAGCACCGGCUAACUUCGUGCCAGCCGCCGCCGUAA